Molecule: long non-coding RNA, 2225 nt
Organism: Bolinopsis microptera
Lineage: Eukaryota; Metazoa; Ctenophora; Tentaculata; Lobata; Bolinopsidae
Exons: 4
Source: RefSeq, a predicted model, not a curated record
AAUUUUUAUUUGGUUUUCAAAGGACGCACUACACUACGCCGCGCAUUUUAAGAGAUUUAACAAAAAUCGUUGUCGCCUGGUUUUUAUCAUAAUUUUAUUGCCCAUUUGAUCUUGUCGCGUUUUGGUCGCAUGUUUUUCUGUUCCCACUCCUAGCACAAAGCUUCAAUGCUACACCGUAUUAUAUUUAGUUUGAUAGUAGUUGUUUCGUAGAAUGAAAGUGAGCUUACUAAUUAAUCUUGAGAGGUUAUUUAAUGUAACUGAGUUAGUGCUACUUCCUUUUGGCUUUGAUGUGUUUGAGACUUAAAGAAACUUGUUCUAGUAGGGUAAUGAUAGUACAGUGGAUGUCUCUUAGAGUAAAUAUCUUUUUACACUUAUAGAUCUGGAUAGAAUUUGAAAGUUUUACUCUUUUAUCAGAUCACUUCACUCAUGCAACUUAUCGAAAUUACAAUAAACUAUUCAAGCCUUGUUUAAAUGUGUUUCUGUGCUAGAAAAAGUAUACUUAUGUGACACUUCCAUGGAUCAAAUCGUGUGAAUGGCACGGUAAAGAACAAACACAUUCCAAGCUAGAGCUCCAGAUCUGCCUUAAAUUUCAGUAAUGGCCUUCAAUCACAUUUUCUAGAAAACUGGUGAUAUGUGAUUCUAAGUUGGUCCCACUUAUUUUGAUUAUCUUAGUUUAGCUGUAAUAUCGAAUUCGAAGAGCUGUUAUUAUUAUUCCUUGAACUGCAGGUGUUUUGAAAGUAUUUGCAAUCUAUCUACAACCUCAUCCCUGCCCCUAUAAUGGAGUAGAUCAUGUGUUUUGUUAAAAUGUUUUUGAAAAAAUUAUUGGUAGCAAUGAAUUGUGCUCUGCCAAUUGCAACACUUAAAAUUUGAUUGUGCUCUGCCAAUUGCAUCACUUGAUUUAAUUGAAUGUAUAUAUACUGUUUGACACACUUUUCAUUUCUAUAUUCCUGGUGCAGAAACAGACCUAACUCUAUGUAUAUUGUUUAUUCUGAUUAUUGUAAAGCUCUAGCUCUAAGCAGUUAGCCAGAAUGUUAACUUUUAAGUAUCAUUAUUACUAGCUGAACCAGAAUUUUCCUUGGGACGAGAUUCUUUCCUGGCAAACAUUAUUAUAUGCUGGUAUAAUAACGACCGAUUCUUCAGACGAAAACAUGACUGGUGAGAGUCGUGUGAUCUCUACAACAACUGCUGCACAAUGUGUGUCUACGACAGUAGCUUCCUCUGUCCUGUCGGAGAUUUCAGGAGGAGACUGGACGUGUUCCAGCCCAACACCAGGAACCAUUAUACACCAACAGGGUAUUUUGUGUCAAGAACGAGGUUAACCUUCCACCUAACCAGAUAAACAACAAAUUCAUAGAUUUCAUGUUGAGUUACGUGCCAAAGAAUACAGAAACGACGUUUGCAUCAUUAAUGUGAAAAAGACCUGGGAGAAACUCCUUCAAGCCGCACGUCACGCCUUAAGAGUGAUAGCUAAUAUCGUUAACCCCGCUGAAGUGGUUUCAUCUCAUCGAGAGACUACAGAUAUGGAAACGUGCGAAGUACGAAGUCAGCGAAGUACGAAGUCAGCUAGAAUUGUGUACUGUCGGUACACAAUUCUAGCUGAGAAAGCAGAGUUCAGAGCAGAAUUAAAGCAGAAAGCUGCCAACCAUCACCUCUCAGCAACACAAAACCUCUUCACCGAAGCCCUAUCUACAUACCCACCCGAAAUCAACGUGGAACUACCAAGAGUCCCUCACGAGAAUUGUCCAAAGAUCACGAGCAGAUAAGUCCGGAUCUGCAAACCACUCUGAAGCACCUACCUCACAGACUUCGUCCUACCAGCUACUUGCCUGACUUCACUGAGAGAGGAAGCGCUAGCAGACAAGGGAAGGUGAUCAGGCUGCAGGACCAGCUGCUGGUGCAGAAGGACGAACAACUACAGUUGAAUAGACAGUACAAACAGCGGUGGAGUCAGGGAUUAAGAGCUACAGUGCAGCUGUUCAACAGAACAGUGCAAGUGGUACGGUCUGCUACAGUAAAAUCCUGAAGAAGAUGAUGAAGAGUGUGGCUGCAGAGGAGGACAGGAGCAAGAAUCUGAUAGUGUUUGGACUGAAAGAAGAGGAUGAAGAACAGCUACCAGCUCUUGUAAACGCAGUAUUGGACGAGAUCGGGGAGAAACCUCAUUUUGAAGCGACAAGAGUCGGCUGGAAGAGGCCAGGUACGGCCAUCCUACCAGCCAAGAUCACUGU